RNAcentral lists this ribosomal RNA (497 nucleotides) under uncultured bacterium. RNAcentral's name for it is "partial 16S ribosomal RNA". It matches the Rfam family "Bacterial small subunit ribosomal RNA", at positions 28 to 507 of the family's 1533-position model. The record is from RNAcentral.
GAUGAGCGCUGGCGGCGUGCCUAAUACAUGCAAGUCGAGCGAACAGACGAGGAGCUUGCUCCUCUGACGUUAGCGGCGGACGGGUGAGUAACACGUGGAUAACCUACCUAUAAGACUGGGAUAACUUCGGGAAACCGGAGCUAAUACCGGAUAAUAUAUUGAACCGCAUGGUUCAAUAGUGAAAGACGGUUUUGCUGUCACUUAUAGAUGGAUCCGCGCCGCAUUAGCUAGUUGGUAAGGUAACGGCUUACCAAGGCAACGAUGCGUAGCCGACCUGAGAGGGUGAUCGGCCACACUGGAACUGAGACACGGUCCAGACUCCUACGGGAGGCAGCAGUAGGGAAUCUUCCGCAAUGGACGAAAGCCUGACGGAGCAACGCCGCGUGAGUGAUGAAGGUCUUCGGAUCGUAAAACUCUGUUAUUAGGGAAGAACAAAUGUGUAAGUAACUAUGCACGUCUUGACGGUACCUAAUCAGAAAGCCACGGCUAACUACGUG